This 188-nucleotide unclassified non-coding RNA is filed under the name uncultured Russula. RNAcentral's name for it is "sequence contains ITS1". The record is from RNAcentral. Lineage: Eukaryota; Fungi; Basidiomycota; Agaricomycetes; Russulales; Russulaceae.
UCGUAUAAAAUGGAGGUGCUGGGGCUGUCGCUGACCUUUGAAAAAGGUCGUGCACGCCCGGAGCACUCUCUCAUAUCCAUCUCACCCCUUUGUGCAUUGCCGCGUGGGUCCCCCUUUCAAGGGGGGCUCGCGUUUUCACACAAACUUGAAGUAGUGUAGAAUGUUCUUGCGAUGACUCGCAAUAAAUA